UAACCGAACUGAAUAUUGGUAAGAAAAAAAAGAAACUGAAAUCUUUUGUUCUGUUCCAUUUUUCUUAUGGAUUGAUUGUUCAAAAGCCAGCUCACAUCUUAGUUUGGUACUUUAUGUGUUGUUAGUUUUGUUUUUAGAUUUUUGGCUCACUGCAAUCAAACAAUUCUAUGAGGAAUUUUUUUUUUUUUGGUAAAAUUCUGUGAGGAAUUUUUUAAACCAAAGUUUUUGAUUUGUCACUUACAUUGCAUUUGUAUUUAUUAGUAUAAUCUUACAUUUAUAAGUAGACGUAAAUUAUUAUUUUUUUCAAAAACAAGGGUCACCUUUUAACUUUUAA
This 334-nucleotide long non-coding RNA is filed under the name Brassica rapa (field mustard). RNAcentral describes it as "long non-coding RNA (BRAP_LNC006822)". The record is from RNAcentral. Lineage: Eukaryota; Viridiplantae; Streptophyta; Magnoliopsida; Brassicales; Brassicaceae.